AUUAAAAGUUACCAGUCAACUAUACAUUUAAGAUAACAAAAGAAGCUGUCUGUUAACCCAUUUCACUGUAGUUUGGAAGGAAAGAGACGCAAUACAGCGAGUUAUUAAGUAAGAAACUUUCAUAAUGAAGAAUUGCCAAGGAAAUAGUUUUUACUCAAUUCGAGUUCUUGGAUUCAUUGCUGUGGUCAGCAUCUUCUUUCUACUGUUUGCCUGGAACCAAUAUUCUGUGAAUAAAGAAUAUACAGGGACAACAUUAAACAAACACAACCAAAAGUUUAUAAAUAAUUUUAAGGAAUUUCCAAAUAAUCAAGUGCAUCAUAUAAAUAAGAAAACUGUAAGCAAAGAGAAACAGGAAUUGGUUCAGUUAAACAACAAAACUAAAUAUAUUAUUUUUUACUGUGUUGAUCAUAGAGGUUGUGGAGGUUGGGGAGAUAGACAGCAUGGAAUAAUUUCUAUAUAUUUAAUGGCACAGGCCAUGGGUCGUCGUUUUGGCAUCAUUAUUUCAAGACUUUGUAAUUUUACUAAUUAUCUUCAACCAAACAAAAUUAACUGGACAAUUGACCCAAAAGAGUUGCAUGGCCUAAGAAGUCGUCGCCUUCAUUUGGUUGACAACAAUACGUACAUUUCCUCUUUACAAUCAGCAGACUUAGAAAUGCUUUACCCUGAAGAUGUCCUCUAUCUGACAACAAAUCGAAUCUAUUUUCAUGCCUUGAAACGGAAUCCUCGCUACAAAGAACAACUGCAUUGGGCAUCAAAAAUGUCAUAUGGAAAUUUAUUUGCUAAAAUGAUGAAUUUAUUGUUUCGCUUCAGCGAUCAUUUACAGGAAAAAUUUGACAAAUUCUUUGAAGUCAAUAUCCCCAGGCCAGAUAUACAUCUGGUGUGUGCUCAGAUUCGAAUGGGACAGAACCCUAGUGUUCCAGGAGAUCCCCCAAGGAAUUCAAUGUCAAGUAUUCAGAUUAUCUGGAACUUGUUAAAUAAGUACAACACAAGCAAGUACAAAUAUUUGUGACAACAGACUCAGAAGAGCAUCGUGUAGGGAAACAGUGU
This is an RNA transcript of Octopus sinensis (East Asian common octopus), 1047 nucleotides long. RefSeq lists it as uncharacterized. The transcript is spliced from 5 exons. The record is from RefSeq and is a predicted model, not a curated record. Lineage: Eukaryota; Metazoa; Mollusca; Cephalopoda; Octopoda; Octopodidae.